RNAcentral lists this ribosomal RNA (494 nucleotides) under uncultured bacterium. RNAcentral describes it as "bacterial SSU rRNA". It matches the Rfam family "Bacterial small subunit ribosomal RNA", at positions 338 to 850 of the family's 1533-position model. The record is from RNAcentral.
CCUACGGAAGGCAGCAGUGCGGAAUCUUGCGCAAUGGGGGAAAGCCUGACGCAGCCAUGCCGCGAGAAUGAUGAAGGUCUUAGGAUAGUAAAAUUCUUUCACCGGGGACGAUAAUGACGGUACCCGGAGAAGAAGCCCCGGCUAACUUCGUCCCAGCAGCCGCGGUAAUACGAAGGGGGCUAGCGUUGUUCGGAAUUACUGGGCGUAAAGGGAGCGUAGGCGGACUGUUUAGUCAGAGGUGAAAGCCCAGGGCUCAACCUGGGAAUUGCCUUUGAUACUGGCAGUCUUGAGUACGGAAGAGGUAUGUGGAAUUCCGAGUGUAGAGGUGAAAUUCGUAGAUAUUCGGAAGAACACCAGUGGCGAAGGCGACAUCCUGGUCCGUUACUGACGCUGAGGCUCGAAAGCGUGGGGAGCAAACAGGAUUAGAUACCCUGGUAGUCCACGCCGUAAACGAUGAGUGCUAGUUGUCGGCAUGCAUGCAUGUCGGUGACGCA